Molecule: non-coding RNA, 21 nt
Filed under: Rattus norvegicus (Norway rat)
Lineage: Eukaryota; Metazoa; Chordata; Mammalia; Rodentia; Muridae
Source: RNAcentral
UUCAAGAAUGGAGAGGCCUGA